UACGUAGGGUGCAAGCGUUGUCCGGAAUUAUUGGGCGUAAAGAGCUCGUAGGCGGUCUGUCGCGUCGGCUGUGAAAACCCGGAGCUCAACUCCGGGCCUGCAGUCGAUACGGGCAGACUGGAGUUCGGCAGGGGAGACUGGAAUUCCUGGUGUAGCGGUGAAAUGCGCAGAUAUCAGGAGGAACACCGGUGGCGAAGGCGGGUCUCUGGGCCGAUACUGACGCUGAGGAGCGAAAGCGUGGGAGCGAACAGG
This 252-nucleotide ribosomal RNA is filed under the name uncultured bacterium. RNAcentral describes it as "partial 16S ribosomal RNA". It matches the Rfam family "Bacterial small subunit ribosomal RNA", at positions 524 to 776 of the family's 1533-position model. The record is from RNAcentral.